CCUACGGGAGGCAGCAGUGGGGAAUAUUGGACAAUGGGGGAAACCCUGAUCCAGCGACGCCGCGUGAGUGAAGAAGUAUUUCGGUACGUAAAGCUCUAUCAGCAGGAAAGAGAAUGACGGUACCUGACCAAGAAGCCCCGGCUAAAUACGUGCCAGCAGCCGCGGUAAUACGUAUGGGGCAAGCGUUAUCCGGAUUUACUGGGUGUAAAGGGAGCGUAGGCGGCAGGGCAAGCCUGAUGUGAAAGCCCGGGGCUCAACCCCGGGACUGCAUUGGGAACUGCCCCGCUCGAGUGCCGGAGGGGCAGGCGGAAUUCCUAGUGUAGCGGUGAAAUGCGUAGAUAUUAGGAGGAACACCAGUGGCGAAGGCGGCCUGCUGGACGGUGUACUGACGCUGAGGCUCGAAAGCGUGGGGAGCAAACAGGAUUAGAUACCCUUGUAGUC
This 441-nucleotide ribosomal RNA is filed under the name uncultured bacterium. RNAcentral describes it as "partial 16S ribosomal RNA". It matches the Rfam family "Bacterial small subunit ribosomal RNA", at positions 338 to 795 of the family's 1533-position model. The record is from RNAcentral.